RNAcentral lists this long non-coding RNA (233 nucleotides) under Elaeis guineensis (African oil palm). Its description in RNAcentral is "long non-coding RNA (EGUI_LNC061779)". The record is from RNAcentral. Lineage: Eukaryota; Viridiplantae; Streptophyta; Magnoliopsida; Arecales; Arecaceae.
UUGGCCAAUUUUUUAAUAUGUGUGACCCUUUGGAUUACUAUCUAGCUAGUAGUAGGUUCAGGUGCUAGUUAACCUAAUCCAAUUAGAUCACUUCUAAUCAAUUAAGGUCCAAACUAUGCUAACCCGCAUUGUCAAAUUAGAACCCUUUCUAAUUGACUCAUGAAUUAUUCACAUUAAUUCAUAAAAACCUACAAGGCAAGAUUGAUGUCAGCAACGUAUUAUGCCUACCCAGA